UUCCGGUUGAUCCUGCCGGACCUGACUGCUAUCGGAUUGAUACUAAGCCAUGCGAGUCAUUGUAGCAAUACAAGGCAUACGGCUCAGUAACGCGUAGUCAACCUACCCUAUGGACGGAAAUAACCUCGGGAAACUGAGAAUAAUAUCCGAUAGAACAUUAUGCCUGGAAUGGUUUAUGUUCCAAAUGAUUUAUCGCCGUAGGAUGGGACUGCGGCCUAUCAGUUUGUUGGUGAGGUAAUGGCCCACCAAGACUAUUACAGGUACGGGCUCUGAGAGGAGUAGCCCGGAGAUGGGUACUGAGACACGGACCCAGGCCCUAUGGGGCGCAGCAGGCGAGAAAACUUUGCAAUGUGCGAAAGCACGACAAGGUUAAUCCGAGUGAUUUCUGCUAAAGAAAUCUUUUGUUAGUCCUAGAAACACUAACGAAUAAGGGGUGGGCAAGUUCUGGUGUCAGCCGCCGCGGUAAAACCAGCACCUCAAGUGGUCAGGAUGAUUAUUGGGCCUAAAGCAUCCGUAGCCGGCUCUGUAAGUCCUCGGUUAAAUCUGUACGCUUAACGUACAGGCUGCCGGGAAUACUGCAUAGCUAGGGAGUGGGAGAGGUAGACGGUACUCGGUAGGAAGGGGUAAAAUCCUUUGAUCUAUUGAUGACCACCUGUGGCGAAGGCGGUCUACCAGAACACGUCCGACGGUGAGGGAUGAAAGCUGGGGGAGCAAACCGGAUUAGAUACCCGGGUAGUCCCAGCUGUAAACUAUGCAAACCCAGUGAUGCAUUGGCUUGUGGCCAAUGCAGUGCUGCAGGGAAGCCGUUAAGUUUGCCGCCUGGGAAGUACGUACGCAAGUAUGAAACUUAAAGGAAUGGGCGGGGGAGCACCACAA
RNAcentral lists this ribosomal RNA (876 nucleotides) under uncultured Nitrososphaerota archaeon. RNAcentral describes it as "bacterial SSU rRNA". It matches the Rfam family "Archaeal small subunit ribosomal RNA", at positions 1 to 884 of the family's 1478-position model. The record is from RNAcentral. Lineage: Archaea; Thermoproteati; Nitrososphaerota.